GCCCGCUUGGCUUAGAGGUAAAGCGUUUCACUUGUAUCCCAGGAUCACAUGAAAAGAUCAGUCGUUCGAAUCGGCUAGUGGGCA
Roridomyces roridus is the source of this 84-nucleotide non-coding RNA. NCBI's taxonomy places the organism in Eukaryota, Fungi, Basidiomycota, Agaricomycetes, Agaricales, Mycenaceae. The record is from the annotation of a GenBank genome assembly.